UGGGGGAAUUUUGGACAAUGGGCGAAAGCCUGAUCCAGCAAUGCCGCGUGUGUGAAGAAGGCCUUCGGGUUGUAAAGCACUUUUGUCCGGAAAGAAAUCCUUGGGCUCUAAUACAGUCGGGGGGAUGACGGUACCGGAAGAAUAAGCACCGGCUAACUACGUGCCAGCAGCCGCGGUAAUACGUAGGGUGCAAGCGUUAAUCGGAAUUACUGGGCGUAAAGCGUGCGCAGGCGGUUUGCUAAGACCGAUGUGAAAUCCCCGGGCUCAACCUGGGAACUGCAUUGGUGACUGGCAGGCUAGAGUAUGGCAGAGGGGGGUAGAAUUCCACGUGUAGCAGUGAAAUGCGUAGAGAUGUGGAGGAAUACCGAUGGCGAAGGGCAGCCCCCUGGGGCCAAUACUGACGCUCAUGCACGAAAGCGUGGGGAGCAAACAGGAUUAGAUACCCUGGUAGUCCACGCCCUAAACGAUGUCAACUAGUUGUUGGGGAUUCAUUCCUUAGUAACGUAGCUAACGCGUGAAGUUGACCGCCUGGGGAGUACGGUCGCAAGAUUAAAACUU
RNAcentral lists this ribosomal RNA (558 nucleotides) under uncultured bacterium. Its description in RNAcentral is "partial 16S ribosomal RNA". It matches the Rfam family "Bacterial small subunit ribosomal RNA", at positions 354 to 902 of the family's 1533-position model. The record is from RNAcentral.